UAAGACGACUGAAUGUCACACAAUCAUUUUUCAAACACAAAUAUUCAAAAUAGCUAUGGGCACAGCCUGUAUUGUAUGAGCACUGACCAAUGAGAAGUGAUGCUGGCCACUGGCACAUGAGCAGAGUUCUGAGCGGCUCCCCAUGACCCAUCUGCCACCCUGCCAGGUGCUAACCCUUUAGUUGUUGGGUGGAAUGAGAAGGGAGGAGGGAGUCCUGGGGAGGGGCCGAGGCCGUUGAGGUGGCAUGAAAGGGUGCUCUGGGGACUCAGGUUAGUGGCUCUUUAACAACUGGUGUGGAGUCAUCUCAAUAUUUUAACAUAGGCUGGCUUUCCAGGUGUGUGCAGGGUGAUGAUUAGCUCUACCUGCCACCCAUCACAGAACUCAGAGUUUCACCACUUCCUUCUCCAUUUUCUUUAGCUGUCAGCAUAUAGUUAAUGGGCAACAACACAGCUCUCCAUCCAGUUCUGGGAAAUAAUAAUCAUGGUUAAUAGUUACUGAGAACUGAUGAUUUCAUUUCAUCUUCAUACCAACGCUUGGGGUAGGCACCAUUUUAAAAGCGAUUGGAGACAGGUUAAACAACUUGCCCUCAAUCAAUGGUUGGGAAGUGAAAGAACCAAGCUUCAAACCCAGGUCUGUCUGGGUCUUGAGCCAAGCUCCAAGUCUGUGUCACAUUGCCCAGGACUCGGCUGCCAAUUCUCCCGACCUCCUCGUCCCUCACUGCUGCAUCAGCAAAUCCAGGGCUCAUGGCAGGAAGAGCAGAGAAGAGCAAAGAGAUGGAACUUUCCAGGCCUGGGAGAACCAGAGGCUCCAUGGCCUAUUGAGAAACUUCUUCACCUGUCCUGCUCACCUGGAGCUCUACCAACUGCUGAGACCGUUGCUGGUCACUUCCUUGUCCCUACUCAGUCAGCCAGUUGGGGUCUUGGUUUGGAUUCUUUGCUCCUAGCACUCACACUCCAUCCACCCCUCACUCUCUGGACCAUGUCCGGGCUGAGACCUCACGUGGGCUCACAUUCUUACGUCUCCCUGGCCCUAGAAGCUGCUCAUCUUCUGGAACUUUAAUACAUUGUUCGACUCUAGUCCUGCUUGAGAUUCCUUUGAAUAAUUCUUAAUUAUACUUCAGGGCUGGCUCUACACAGCAGACCACAUGAAUAAGAAUUCUUUCUAAGGUUGCAUUGGUCUGUGAGAAGGCAGGAAAAAUGCCUCAGGAUGAUUGAAAUGGUUGUUCUGAAAUGAUGGAUGAUAUUGUGUGGCUUAAGCUUCCCAUAACCCUGAUGGGCUCAACUGGGGGAGGGGCAGCGAGAGAUGUGGGGAGAGUCCCAUACACGCCAUUUCUCCUCUGGCUUCUCCUAACACUAGCCCCACCCCAGAACCCAGGACUCUGACUGCCCAUCUUGUGAUAUAGAAGCUUCUGGGGGCAGGAGUGACUGUGGAAACUGGAGGUUGUUCCUGGACUAUUUCACAACACUUGUCUCCAGGAAAAAGAAAAAAAAAAAAAAGCCUCAUUCUCUUGAUCCCCAGUGUUACAUAACCUAACAUUUCCCUUGCUGGUUGAAAUGAAUAUCCUUUGCCUGAAUAAAUAGGACACAAACUGUUUGGGGCGGGCUGCUUCCUCUGCUCCAGCGUUUCUGAGGGAUCCGGCCACUUCGGUGGGGUUAGUGGUGGCCCACAGCUCGGCUUGGCCCGGGUCUUCCUGCAGGGCUCCUUCUUGGAGCGUGCAUUCUGCCAAAACACGUUUUAAGUGUGUCAACAAGUAGCAAACAGUGACCCACCUGUGGCAGUUGCGGUGACUCUGGAAGACGGGCUCCCCCUGAGGCGCUGGGGCGUCUGCAGCUGGAAAUCUGCUGUUGCUCCUUCCACACAUCUCCUAAGUGCAGAAACACCGCCCAAAGCCCUGAAAUGGAAAGGUUAAAAAAUCCAGAGUCAUAAACACUCACAGGAGUAUCAACUGUCGGCUCUGCCUUUAUAGGAAAACCGUUUACUUGGUAACGUGGUGUUGAACCCUCAUGUCCUGGCAUACGUUUUUGAUUUUCAUGUGGAGCGUUUGAUAAUUUCCCGAAGCCCAAAUGACUCAUUCCAUAGCCUGUCAUUUGAACUGUUCACACCUUUGUCUUCAUUCUCUUUCCUGUGUUUUCCUGUUGGAGAAAAAUGAAUAGCACCCUUGGCUUGUCCAGCAGAGGCAGACCCUAUUCCAUGCUCUCAGAUGACUUUCCCAUCUUUCAUUUCCGCAGAGGUGAAGCUUUCAUGGUGUGAAGGGAAGGAUGGAACUGGUGAGGUCCUGGUGUUACUCAUUCUGAGCUCCAGGGGCUGCUUCAUAUCACAACUGGAUGAAAACUCCUCAAGGUCACAUCUAUCCCUCCUUGCCUGGCACAGAGGAGAUGCUUCAUUUGGAUGUGUUGCUGGAGGGGAGAGGUGCAAGCAGUAUGCCAUGGGCACUCAGAGAAAGAGACUAUCUUUAUUCCUGUAAGCUUCAACUAGGGAGCUUCAAUGUUGCGCAAAUGACAGCAGAGAGAGUCAUCAGGUCAAGCCUAUCCAGCAAGAAGCCAAGUGGAGAGUUGAGCAAUUAUCUGAAGUGGGCAGUGAGACGGCCAAAACCAGAUAAUACUUAACCAGAAAGUCAUCGUGGAGGGAAAAAGUGGACUGAAAAUAGAAGGGAUGGGGUAAAAUGUCAAACAAUUUGGUCAGUGUCCACAGUCCAAAUUCACUGGAUAACAGCCAAUUCCUUGCUUCAUGUAAUUAUUUAGAACGAGUCUAAAAGACUGAGGUUUUAAAAAAAGAAGAUGAAUUUGUUACCAAGGUUGUUGCAUGUUUGUGCAAAACUUUUUCAUAUCCGUAGGACUAUCUGUGACAUGUCUAAUUCUGAAUAUUUCCAGGAUAUUUUAGAUUGGUGGGUCAAGUUUGUUGAGGAAGCCCAUAUUAUCUGUAGACUUACAUGGAGAAAAACUUUCUUUUAUGGAUUAUUUGAGUGUUAUAUUUAAUUCGCCUUUCUCCCCCCAUAGCAUAUUGCUUAGGAAUUUUCCAUUGAAAACUCCUGGUUCUCUGUUACUUUAUCAUUUCCUCAUGUGGCAAUUUCAGUAUCCCCUUGAUUUUAGUAGAACCUAUCAAUGAAGUAUAUAAGUCUACUAGAAUGGGAUUUGCAUUACUUUUGGUUAAAAAAAACCCCACCAAAGUCUCAGAUCAAUGUGGUGUUUUUUUCCCUUCUAUUUGGUAUAAAAACCAUAAACUAAUUACUCUGAACAGAUGUUUCCUAGACCUAAAAUAUAGUUAUCAGCCCACUGGCCUCUAUAAAUCCAUCGCUGUAUACCUGGUAAUCCUGAAGACUCCUUAGUGCCAUGUUAAACCUUCCAUUUGUUGAUUUUUUAUUGAGAAAAAGUUCAUAAAUUAGGUUCACUGCUGCUUGGAAUUAAGAAGAAAACACAGCCAUGUUAGUAUUUCAGAUGGGAAAACCAAAGUUAAAAACAAGUAUUUUUUUUCACUCUAUCAUGUCUUGAACAUUUGAAGCCAUUACAUAGCAUCUUAGAAACAACAACAACAAAAUAACCCAGGGCUACAUUUUUCAGUAGCUUUGGCUGAUGUUUGAAAUCCACAGUGAAAAUUGCCCAUGGAAUAUUCUGGAAGGACUCCAAGGGAGUCUAUUGGAAUAUCUUACAAUAAAGUAAAAAUUCAAGAAGAAUUUUACAUGCAAGUAAGGAUUAAGAAAUUUGUUUUAUAAGUCACGGGAUAAAGGUAUGUAUUAAGUGACAUUGCUAAAUUCUUCCCUU
RNAcentral lists this long non-coding RNA (3758 nucleotides) under Equus caballus (horse). RNAcentral's name for it is "lncRNA (ENSECAG00000049524.1)". The record is from RNAcentral. Lineage: Eukaryota; Metazoa; Chordata; Mammalia; Perissodactyla; Equidae.